This 257-nucleotide ribosomal RNA is filed under the name uncultured bacterium. RNAcentral describes it as "partial 16S ribosomal RNA". It matches the Rfam family "Bacterial small subunit ribosomal RNA", at positions 99 to 353 of the family's 1533-position model. The record is from RNAcentral.
CGGACGGGUGAGUAACGCGUGGAUAACCUGCCUCACACUGGGGGAGUAACAGUUAGAAAUGGCUGCUAAUACCGCAUAAGCGCACAGUACCGCAUGGUACGGUGUGAAAAACCCAGGUGGUGUGAGAUGGAUCCGCGUCUGAUUAGCCAGUUGGCGGGGUAACGGCCCACCAAAGCGACGAUCAGUAGCCGACCUGAGAGGGUGACCGGCCACAUUGGGACUGAGACACGGCCCAAACUCCUACGGGAGGCAGCAUG